AACGGCGAGGAUGAUGAUUAAAUUAGAUGUGCGAAUUGGGGGUAAUUUCCUUUUAAUGAGCUUAAAACUUUUUGAGGCAUAUUCAUAUAUCUGACAUCGCCGUC
Eutrema salsugineum is the source of this 104-nucleotide small nucleolar RNA. It matches the Rfam family "Small nucleolar RNA Z266". From Rfam's summary of the family: Z266 is a member of the C/D class of snoRNA which contain the C (UGAUGA) and D (CUGA) box motifs. Most of the members of the box C/D family function in directing site-specific 2'-O-methylation of substrate RNAs. Lineage: Eukaryota; Viridiplantae; Streptophyta; Magnoliopsida; Brassicales; Brassicaceae. The record is from Rfam.